CAAAAAGAUAUAUUUUCACACUGCUUUCUCCAGAGGAUAUCUCUUUUCCUUGUUUCUUUUCAAUUUCUAGGGCUGUGAACAAGGAACCAAGUAGUUUGACUGCUGCCUGCUGCAGUCAGCGGAGCAUGCCAAUCCUCACAGCAUUUCCCUAUUGGAGAAGCUCAGAGCAGUAACCCUCAGCUGCAGCUCUGCAGAGAAGUGCUGCAGUGCUGCUGGAGGAGUGCCAAAUGAAGGCCAGGACAGGAGAGACAGUAAGGCCCAGCCUAACUCUGCACCUUUGGGAAAAUCAGCAUAAAACAUGAUACAGUAAGAAUGUUUUGAUAUUUUUUUCUAUUUUUUCCUCUUAAGAUAGUUUUAUUUGGUUGCAAAAUGGUGAUCUCCACACAUGAAGAAUAGUGAUGAAGUUAAGGUUUUACUCAGAAGCAAUUGGCAGUUGCCUUCAUUAUCAAAGUUAUCUUUGUGAUCUUGAGCACAUUCUUCUCUUUCUUGGAUAAUGGUGGCUGGAUAAGUAUCAUCAAUAGAGAAAUAUAUCUGCAGGAAGAAGAUUAAUAGUACUUGAGGAAUCUAAUCUCUCA
This 575-nucleotide long non-coding RNA is filed under the name Zonotrichia albicollis (white-throated sparrow). RNAcentral's name for it is "lncRNA (ENSZALG00000013820.1)". The record is from RNAcentral. Lineage: Eukaryota; Metazoa; Chordata; Aves; Passeriformes; Passerellidae.